CCUUUGGGUGGGUACUCGAGUGGCGAACGGGUGAGUAACACGUGGGUGACCUGUCCCUGGCUCUGGGAUAACCGUUGGAAACGGCGGCUAAUACCGGAUGUGACUGCUGGAUGCAUGUUCAGUGGUGGAAAGCUUUGGCGGCUGGGGUGGGGCUCGCGGCCUAUCAGCUGGUUGGUGGGGUGAUGGCCUACCAAGGCGGUGACGGGUAGCCGGCCUGAGAGGGCGGUCGGUCACAUUGGGACUGAGAUACGGCCCAGACUCCUACGGGAGGCAGCAGUGGGGAAUUUUGCACAAUGGGCGGAAGCCUGAUGCAGCGACGCCGCGUGAGGGAUGACGGCUUUCGGGUUGUAAACCUCUUUUGUUCGCGACGAAGCCGGUCGUGUUCGGUCGGUGACGGUAGUGUUCGAAUAAGCGCCGGCUAACUACGUGCCAGCAGCCGCGGUAAGACGUAGGGCGCGAGCGUUGUCCGGAUUUAUUGGGCGUAAAGGGCUCGUAGGCGGCUCGUCGCGUCUGUCGUGAAAAGCCAUGGCUUAACUGUGGUCGUGCGGUGGAUACGGGCGGGCUUGAGGCAAGUAGGGGAGACUGGAAUUCUACGUGUAGCGGUGAAAUGCGCAGAUAUGUGGAGGAACACCGGUGGCGAAGGCGGGUCUCUGGGCUUGUGCUGACGCUGAGGAGCGAAAGCGUGGGGAGCGAACAGGAUUAGAUACCCUGGUAGUCCAU
This 720-nucleotide ribosomal RNA is filed under the name Glycomyces sp. 41368. Its description in RNAcentral is "bacterial SSU rRNA". It matches the Rfam family "Bacterial small subunit ribosomal RNA", at positions 77 to 798 of the family's 1533-position model. RNAcentral also lists the same sequence under 1 other name. Lineage: Bacteria; Bacillati; Actinomycetota; Actinomycetes; Glycomycetales; Glycomycetaceae. The record is from RNAcentral.